This 508-nucleotide ribosomal RNA is filed under the name uncultured Glomus. RNAcentral's name for it is "SSU rRNA". It matches the Rfam family "Eukaryotic small subunit ribosomal RNA", at positions 569 to 1078 of the family's 1831-position model. Lineage: Eukaryota; Fungi; Glomeromycota; Glomeromycetes; Glomerales; Glomeraceae. The record is from RNAcentral.
AGCAGCCGCGGUAAUUCCAGCUCCAAUAGCGUAUAUUAAAGUUGUUGCAGUUAAAAAGCUCGUAGUUGAAUUUCGGGGUUAGUAGGCUGGUCAUGCCGCCGGUAUGUACUGGUCUUUCUGAUUCCUCCUUCCUGAUGAACUGUAAUGCCAUUAAUUUGGUGUUGCAGGGAAUCUGGACUGUUACUUUGAAAAAAUUAGAGUGUUUAAAGCAGGCUAACGCUUGAAUACAUUAGCAUGGAAUAAUGAAAUAGGACGUUCGAUCCUAUUUUGUUGGUUUCUAGGAUUGACGUAAUGAUUAAUAGGGAUAGUUGGGGGCAUUAGUAUUCAAUUGUCAGAGGUGAAAUUCUUGGAUUUAUUGAAGACUAACUACUGCGAAAGCAUUUGCCAAGGAUGUUUUCAUUAAUCAAGAACGAAAGUUAGGGGAUCGAAGACAAUCAGAUACCGUCGUAGUCUUAACCAUAAACUAUGCCGACUAGGGAUCGGAUGAUGUUAAUUUUUUAAUGACUCA